UACCACUAAAACUCGAUGAAUCUCUUCAACUCAUCAUAUCCUAUAACUUCUCGCCAGAGUACUUCGUCUCCUGGUUCACUGAAUAUCUAUCUUAACUUUCGUCCUCCAUUCUACUAAGGUUAUAAUUCUUCACCAGAGUUCUUCAUCCAUUGAAUAUCUAUCUUAACUUUCGUUAUCCAUUCUACUAAGGUUAUAAUUCUUCACCAUAGUUCUUCGUCUAUCGAAUAUCUAUCUUAACUUUCGUUAUCCAUUCUACUAAGGUUAUAACCUAGGUUUCGCAUUCCUAACGUUUAUAACCUACAGCUUUGAUACCAACCUGUGGCNNNN
Molecule: long non-coding RNA, 327 nt
Filed under: Panax ginseng (ginseng)
Lineage: Eukaryota; Viridiplantae; Streptophyta; Magnoliopsida; Apiales; Araliaceae
Description: long non-coding RNA (PGIN_LNC001538)
Source: RNAcentral